AACGAACGCUGGCGGCAUGCCUAACACAUGCAAGUCGAACGAGACCUUCGGGUCUAGUGGCGCACGGGUGCGUAACGCGUGGGAAUCUGCCCUCUGGUUCGGAAUAACUCAGGGAAACUUGAGCUAAUACCGGAUAAUGACUUCGGUCCAAAGAUUUAUCGCCUGAGGAUGAGCCCGCGUCGGAUUAGCUAGUUGGUGAGGUAAAGGCUCACCAAGGCGACGAUCCGUAGCUGGUCUGAGAGGAUGAUCAGCCACACUGGGACUGAGACACGGCCCAGACUCCUACGGGAGGCAGCAGUGGGGAAUAUUGGACAAUGGGCGAAAGCCUGAUCCAGCAAUGCCGCGUGAGUGAUGAAGGCCUUAGGGUUGUAAAGCUCUUUUACCCGGGAUGAUAAUGACAGUACCGGGAGAAUAAGCCCCGGCUAACUCCGUGCCAGCCGCCGCGGUAA
RNAcentral lists this ribosomal RNA (449 nucleotides) under uncultured bacterium. RNAcentral describes it as "partial 16S ribosomal RNA". It matches the Rfam family "Bacterial small subunit ribosomal RNA", at positions 29 to 523 of the family's 1533-position model. The record is from RNAcentral.